Molecule: ribosomal RNA, 253 nt
Filed under: uncultured bacterium
Lineage: Bacteria
Description: partial 16S ribosomal RNA
Rfam family: Bacterial small subunit ribosomal RNA
Source: RNAcentral
UACGUAGGGGGCAAGCGUUGUCCGGAAUCAUUGGGCGUAAAGAGCGUGUAGGCGGCUCGGUAAGUCCGCUGUGAAAGUCCAGGGCUCAACCCUGGAAUGCCGGUGGAAACUGUCGAGCUAGAAUCCGGAAGAGGCGAGUGGAAUUCCUGGUGUAGCGGUGAAAUGCGCAGAUAUCAGGAGGAACACCGAUGGCGAAGGCAGGUCUCUGGGCCACUACUGACGCUGAGAAGCGAAAGCAUGGGGAGCGAACAGG